CACGUAGGGGGCAAGCGUUGUCCGGAUUUAUUGGGCGUAAAGAGCUCGUAGGUGGUUCGGUAAGUCGGGUGUGAAACCUCCAGGCUCAACCUGGAGACGCCACCCGAUACUGCUGUGACUGGAGUCCGGUAGGGGAGCGUGAAAUUCCUGGUGUAGCGGUGAAAUGCGCAGAUAUCAGGAGGAACACCAAUGGCGAAGGCAGCUCGCUGGAACGGUACUGACGCUGAGACGCGAAAGCGUGGGGAGCAAACAGG
RNAcentral lists this ribosomal RNA (254 nucleotides) under uncultured bacterium. RNAcentral describes it as "partial 16S ribosomal RNA". It matches the Rfam family "Bacterial small subunit ribosomal RNA", at positions 524 to 776 of the family's 1533-position model. The record is from RNAcentral.